UUGAAGAGUUUGAUCAUGGCUCAGAUUGAACGCUGGCGGCAGGCCUAACACAUGCAAGUCGAGCGGUAGCACAGAGAGCUUGCUCUCGGGUGACGAGCGGCGGACGGGUGAGUAAUGUCUGGGAAACUGCCUGAUGGAGGGGGAUAACUACUGGAAACGGUAGCUAAUACCGCAUAAUGUCGCAAGACCAAAGUGGGGGACCUUCGGGCCUCAUGCCAUCAGAUGUGCCCAGAUGGGAUUAGCUUGUAGGUGGGGUAACGGCUCACCUAGGCGACGAUCCCUAGCUGGUCUGAGAGGAUGACCAGCCACACUGGAACUGAGACACGGUCCAGACUCCUACGGGAGGCAGCAGUGGGGAAUAUUGCACAAUGGGCGCAAGCCUGAUGCAGCCAUGCCGCGUGUGUGAAGAAGGCCUUCGGGUUGUAAAGCACUUUCAGCGGGGAGGAAGGCGGUGAGGUUAAUAACCUCAUCGAUUGACGUUACCCGCAGAAGAAGCACCGGCUAACUCCGUGCCAGCAGCCGCGGUAAUACGGAGGGUGCAAGCGUUAAUCGGAAUUACUGGGCGUAAAGCGCACGCAGGCGGUCUGUCAAGUCGGAUGUGAAAUCCCCGGGCUCAACCUGGGAACUGCAUUCGAAACUGGCAGGCUAGAGUCUUGUAGAGGGGGGUAGAAUUCCAGGUGUAGCGGUGAAAUGCGUAGAGAUCUGGAGGAAUACCGGUGGCGAAGGCGGCCCCCUGGACAAAGACUGACGCUCAGGUGCGAAAGCGUGGGGAGCAAACAGGAUUAGAUACCCUGGUAGUCCACGCCGUAAACGAUGUCGAUUUGGAGGUUGUGCCCUUGAGGCGUGGCUUCCGGAGCUAACGCGUUAAAUCGACCGCCUGGGGAGUACGGCCGCAAGGUUAAAACUCAAAUGAAUUGACGGGGGCCCGCACAAGCGGUGGAGCAUGUGGUUUAAUUCGAUGCAACGCGAAGAACCUUACCUGGUCUUGACAUCCACAGAACUUAGCAGAGAUGCUUUGGUGCCUUCGGGAACUGUGAGACAGGUGCUGCAUGGCUGUCGUCAGCUCGUGUUGUGAAAUGUUGGGUUAAGUCCCGCAACGAGCGCAACCCUUAUCCUUUGUUGCCAGCGGUCCGGCCGGGAACUCAAAGGAGACUGCCAGUGAUAAACUGGAGGAAGGUGGGGAUGACGUCAAGUCAUCAUGGCCCUUACGACCGGGCUACACGUGCUACAAUGGCAUAUACAAAGAGAAGCGACCUCGCGAGAGCAAGCGGACCUCAUAAAGUAUGUCGUAGUCCGGAUUGAGUCUGCAACUCGACUCCAUGAAGUCGGAAUCGCUAGUAAUCGUAGAUCAGAAUGCUACGGUGAAUACGUUCCCGGGCCUUGUACACACCGCCCGUCACACCAUGGGAGUGGGUUGCAAAAGAAGUAGGUAGCUUAACCUUCGGGAGGGCGCUUACCACUUUGUGAUUCAUGACUGGGGUGAAGUCGUAACAAGGUAACCGUAGGGGAACCUGCGGUUGGAUCACCUCCUU
Molecule: ribosomal RNA, 1532 nt
Filed under: Klebsiella pneumoniae
Lineage: Bacteria; Pseudomonadati; Pseudomonadota; Gammaproteobacteria; Enterobacterales; Enterobacteriaceae
Description: bacterial SSU rRNA
Rfam family: Bacterial small subunit ribosomal RNA
Source: RNAcentral